RNAcentral lists this ribosomal RNA (444 nucleotides) under uncultured bacterium. Its description in RNAcentral is "bacterial SSU rRNA". It matches the Rfam family "Bacterial small subunit ribosomal RNA", at positions 28 to 457 of the family's 1533-position model. The record is from RNAcentral.
GAUGAACGCUGGCGGCGUGCUUAACACAUGCAAGUCGAACGAGGAAUUUCAAAUGAGGCUUCGGCGGAUUUUAAAAUUCUUAGUGGCGGACGGGUGAGUAACGCGUGGGCAACCUGCCCUGUACAGGGGGACAACAGCUGGAAACGGCUGCUAAUACCGCAUAAGCGCACAGCAUCGCAUGAUGCCGUGUGAAAAACUCCGGUGGUACAGGAUGGGCCCGCGUUGGAUUAGGUAGUUGGUGAGGUAACGGCCCACCAAGCCGACGAUCCAUAGCCGACCUGAGAGGGUGACCGGCCACAUUGGGACUGAGACACGGCCCAAACUCCUACGGGAGGCAGCAGUGGGGAAUAUUGCACAAUGGGGGAAACCCUGAUGCAGCGACGCCGCGUGAGCGAAGAAGUAUUUCGGUAUGUAAAGCUCUAUCAGCAGGGAAGAAAAUGACGG